UGGACCAAUGACGCUGGUUGGGGGAGCGUGAGUCCCGGGCAGUGGGUAUCACAUCUGAAACUCUGAGGUCCCA
Manis javanica (Malayan pangolin) is the source of this 73-nucleotide small nucleolar RNA. RefSeq annotates it as small nucleolar RNA SNORD113/SNORD114 family. The record is from RefSeq and is a predicted model, not a curated record. Lineage: Eukaryota; Metazoa; Chordata; Mammalia; Pholidota; Manidae.